CGUGUGCUUUAUUUCAUCAUUGUAGGUAUUUAUAGGCAUUACAGUCGGGGUAAAGUAGUAAAUUCGUUUGGUCAUCUAUUCCGCACGCUUGCCAUUAAACUAAUUAAGGCUAUUAUUAGAUUAUAACUUGUCAGGUCGUUGUCCCCUAAUUAUAGAGCUGGAUUCUGUCCUCAUCAUCCCGCUCUGUCUAGUAGCUCUG
Molecule: long non-coding RNA, 199 nt
Filed under: Salvia miltiorrhiza (redroot sage)
Lineage: Eukaryota; Viridiplantae; Streptophyta; Magnoliopsida; Lamiales; Lamiaceae
Description: long non-coding RNA (SMIL_LNC013803)
Source: RNAcentral